GAUGAAGAACGCAGCGAAAUGCGAUAAGUAGUGUGAAUUGCAGAAUUCAGUGAAUCAUCGAAUCUUUGAACGCACAUUGCGCCCCUUGGUAUUCCAUGGGGCAUGCCUGUUCGAGCGUCAUUUGUACCCUCAAGCUUUGCUUGGUGUUGGGUGUUUGUCCAUUCUCUUGCAGAGGGACUCGCCUUAAAGUAAUUGGCAGCCAGUGUUUUGGUUUUGAAGCGCAGCACAAGUCGCGAUUCAACGCUAUACGCCAGCUUCCACAAGCCUUUUUCACUUUUGACCUCGGAUCAGGUAGGGAUACCCGCUGAACUUAAGCAUAUCAAUAAGCGGAGGA
Molecule: unclassified non-coding RNA, 334 nt
Filed under: soil metagenome
Description: partial contains 5.8S ribosomal RNA, internal transcribed spacer 2, and large subunit ribosomal RNA
Rfam family: 5.8S ribosomal RNA (bases 1-120)
Source: RNAcentral